AUUGAACGCUGGCGGCAGGCCUAACACAUGCAAGUCGAGCGGAUGAAGGGAGCUUGCUCCUGGAUUCAGCGGCGGACGGGUGAGUAAUGCCUAGGAAUCUGCCUGGUAGGGGGGGAUAACGUCCGGAAACGGGCGCUAAUACCGCAUACGUCCUGAGGGAGAAAGUGGGGGAUCUUCGGACCUCACGCUAUCAGAUGAGCCUAGGUCGGAUUAGCUAGUUGGUGGGGUAAAGGCCUACCAAGGCGACGAUCCGUAACUGGUCUGAGAGGAUGAUCAGUCACACUGGAACUGAGACACGGUCCAGACUCCUACGGGAGGCAGCAGUGGGGAAUAUUGGACAAAGGGCGAAAGCCUGAUCCAGCCAUGCCGCGUGUGUGAAGAAGGUCUUCGGAUUGUAAAGCACUUUAAGUUGGGAGGAAGGGCAGUAAGUUAAUACCUUGCUGUUUUGACGUUACCAACAGAAUAAGCACCGGCUAACUUCGUG
This 484-nucleotide ribosomal RNA is filed under the name uncultured bacterium. RNAcentral describes it as "partial 16S ribosomal RNA". It matches the Rfam family "Bacterial small subunit ribosomal RNA", at positions 30 to 507 of the family's 1533-position model. The record is from RNAcentral.